Long non-coding RNA from Salvia miltiorrhiza (redroot sage), 864 nucleotides. RefSeq lists it as uncharacterized. The transcript has 6 exons. Lineage: Eukaryota; Viridiplantae; Streptophyta; Magnoliopsida; Lamiales; Lamiaceae. The record is from RefSeq and is a predicted model, not a curated record.
UCUUAUUUCCCGUUAGUUACUUGGUUUCUUCCUCACAACAUUUUCCCUCCCAAAUUAAAAGCCCUAGCCUUCUCCAUUCUUCGCCGCUGCCGUCUACCUCCAUUCCUUCGCCGCUACCGUCCACCACCCUACCUCCUCAGUCGCGCCGCCCUUCCCACUGUCGCUUUUGUCGUUGUCACCGCCGCGCGCCGCUGUCGCUGCUGGCCUGCUGCUCUGCUUCGAGAUCGAAGAUGGAUUUUGGUUGAGAUUUUUUCCUGAUAAGGCUGCUUCGUAGGCUCAGGAAAUAGUUAACGAGCUCAUUCAGGAAUUAAAAAUAAGGCCAUGCCCCAUCAUAUUUGCAUCUUUUUCUGGUGGGCCAAAAGCUUGUAUGUAUAAGGUUCUUCAGAUAAUCGAAGGGCAGCGUGAAGAGCAAAUCAACCAGAUAUGAGUACUAGAUCCCAUCGUGGCCGUCUUGGAGGAUCUAGCAGUGCAGCAUCAUCCCGUGCAUCAUCGACAUUGCAAGCAUCGGCUUCAGAUGUAGAGUUAGAGCAAACAGUAUCUGAUGCACUCUCAAACAAUGACGAAAGGAUUUGGAGAGCUGCAGCAGCAGCUUCAAGAUGAGCGCGAGCAUAGACUUCGAUUGGAGGAGUCACUUCAGUUAACUAAUUAGAUGCUCCAACAGUUCAUGAGGUCCCAACAGUCGAGGAGUAGUGGCUCAGGAGAUUCUUAGCUUUCGUGUAGUAUAUUUAGUACAUUUUGAUACAUUAUUAAGAUAUUUCGCUUAGAUGUAGUUUAUUUAGUACUUUUUAUGUUAUUAUGAUAUUUACAUAUAAAUAUAUUGUUGGAUAUUGAACAAUGUCGAAUGAAUUUUAAAUUAUGUUUAGA